Molecule: long non-coding RNA, 651 nt
Filed under: Phasianus colchicus (ring-necked pheasant)
Lineage: Eukaryota; Metazoa; Chordata; Aves; Galliformes; Phasianidae
Description: lncRNA (ENSPCLG00000010196.1)
Source: RNAcentral
CAUAACUCAUUUCUGUUCAUUGACUUUCAGUUCAGCUGACAAGACAGGAUUUCUCCCUGGAUCUUGGUGUGUUACAUACACCUGUCAAGCAGAAGCUUCACGGCAGCCUCAGGGGAGCAUCUAAAAGACACUCCUGCAAUAACAAUGAACUCACCAUCCAUUUGCUGCCUGUUUCUUUGAAACGAUGAGCAAGUUAAGAACACACCGACCAAACCACUUCAAUUUGCACUUCUCUGGGGGAGAGUAUGGUAAUGCCUGAGUUUGGACCUGCAUGUCUUCCUGCACACCUACAAGUGAGGACAGCCUGAAUAAUUAAGCACUUUGGAUAUUGAAAGCAAUUCGAACAUCUCCUAAACCCAGAGCUGAAUUUUGCUGUUUUCAGCAAGGAAUGAGGGCGACAGAAAUCCAGAGCAAGUUGAGGGCAUGCAUGGUGGGUGAAGGCAGAUGCUGGAUUCUGUCACCAUUUGAGGAAGGGUGGGCAGUGGUUACAGCCUCACAUCCUGGAAAUGAAAGCACUUCCAUCAGAAAAAUUAAAACUGAAUGAACUAGGGACUUGCUGUGGAAGUCCCUUCCUGUUCUGCUCUAUUCAGAUUGGAUUACUUACAGAAACAGAGAGAACAAGCAACCUUGUUACAGGAGACUUGGCUCAGG